AGUGAACGCUGGCGGUAGGCCUAACACAUGCAAGUCGAACGGCAGCACAGUAAGAGCUUGCUCUUACGGGUGGCGAGUGGCGGACGGGUGAGGAAUACAUCGGAAUCUACUUUUUCGUGGGGGAUAACGUAGGGAAACUUACGCUAAUACCGCAUACGACCUACGGGUGAAAGCAGGGGAUCUUCGGACCUUGCGCGAUUGAAUGAGCCGAUGUCGGAUUAGCUAGUUGGCGGGGUAAAGGCCCACCAAGGCGACGAUCCGUAGCUGGUCUGAGAGGAUGAACCGCCACACGGGACAUGGGACACGGUCAAGACCCCUACGGGGGGCAGCAGGGGGGAAUUUUGGACAAUGGGGCAAAGCCUGAUCCAGCCAUACCGGGUGGGUGAAGAAGGCCUUCGGGUUGUAAAGCCCUUUUGUUGGGAAAAAAAAGCAGCAGGUUAAUACCCCGCUGUUCUGACGGUACCCAAAGAAUAAGCACCGGCUAACUUCGU
Molecule: ribosomal RNA, 491 nt
Filed under: uncultured bacterium
Lineage: Bacteria
Description: partial 16S ribosomal RNA
Rfam family: Bacterial small subunit ribosomal RNA
Source: RNAcentral